CGCGAAUAGCUCAUUACAACAGCUAUAAUCUACAUGUUCUUACUUUUAAACGGAUAACUGCGGUAAUUCUGGAGCCAAUACGUGCCUAAAGGGGUGUUCAGCAAUGAGCACUCUGCACUUAUCGGAGCAAAACUAAUCUUGUUUUAUGCUAACUCUGGAUAACCAAGCUUAUCGCAGGUCUUCGGACGGCGAAGUAACAUUCGAGUAUCUGCCCUAUCAUCUAUCGUAGGUAGUGUAUUGGACUACCCAGGAGGUCACGGGUAACGGAGAAUCAGGGUUCGACUCCGGAGAGGGAGCCUUAGAAACGGCUACCAUUUCUAAGGAAAGCAGCAGGCGCGCAACUUAUCCACUGUCCACUAGGACGAGAUAGUGACGAGAAAUAACAAGUUCGUUCUCUUUGAGGUCGAACAUUGGAAUGGACCGAAUUUAAAAGAUUCGGUGAGUACCCACGAGAGGGCAAGUCUGGUGCCAGCAGCCGCGGUAAUUCCAGCUCUCGUAAUGUAUAGAAUUAUUGUUGCGGUUAAAAAGUUCGUAGUUGGAUUUCAUACCACUUGGAGGUAGUGUUUAACGACGCUUACUUGCGGUGGUGUUUACAUCGAGUCGAGUUCACUUGGCUAGAUGUGGAUUACUUUGAACGGCUUAAGUGCUCAAGGCGAGUCUUCGGACUGAAUACCGGUGCAUGGAAUAAUGGAACAAGGUUUCGGCUGAGUUUUAUUGGUUUUGUCGGCAGAGACAAUGGUUAACAGGAACAGCUGGGGGCACUCGUAUCCCGGCGCGAGAGGUGAAAUUCGUGGACCGUCGGGAGACGCCCUAAAGCGAAGGCAUUUGCCAAGAGUGUUUUCAUUAAUCAAGAACGAAAGUCAGAGGUUCGAAGGCGAUCAGAUACCGCCC
RNAcentral lists this ribosomal RNA (891 nucleotides) under Aphelenchoides bicaudatus. Its description in RNAcentral is "SSU rRNA". It matches the Rfam family "Eukaryotic small subunit ribosomal RNA", at positions 88 to 1020 of the family's 1831-position model. The record is from RNAcentral. Lineage: Eukaryota; Metazoa; Nematoda; Chromadorea; Rhabditida; Aphelenchoididae.